This is a long non-coding RNA of Anguilla rostrata (American eel), 781 nucleotides long. RefSeq lists it as uncharacterized. The transcript is spliced from 2 exons. NCBI's taxonomy places the organism in Eukaryota, Metazoa, Chordata, Actinopteri, Anguilliformes, Anguillidae. The record is from RefSeq and is a predicted model, not a curated record.
CCCGUUAGAAAAAUAGCAACGCUUUAAAAGAGUCCUGUAGCUUUAAGAAAGGGAGGCUCCCUACCUAACUUGUUAGGAGGACUUGUUUUGCAACCCUAAUUAGUUUUAUUGGCUGUAACAGGCAGUAAUUAUUCUGGAAAAUAGUUAGCCCCGCCCACCCCAGGGACUUGGUUGAGACUGUUUGUCACACAGGAGAGUGCGUAGCAAGAGGGGAGAAUGGGAGAGACAAAAAGACGAUCAGAAACAGAAAAUCAUAAUCGUUAAUUUAAGCAGUAAACCUAAAGAGUAGCUCCUUAAAUGACCCAGGGACCAAAUAUUUUCCAGAUCGCACACUUCAAUCUCUUUCCUUGGGAUCUUGAAGAAACCUGUGAACCUAGGAUUCUCUCCCUGACGAGGGAGAUGGCGAGCCGACCAGCUUGAUCACCUUGAUUCAUCUUCAUCCAUUUGAGGAAGAACCCCCUGAUACCCCUUGUUUCUCCCAACCCCACUCCCACUGUGGUAGGAUUGUGACUGAGCAAUUACAUUUUAUUUGAUACUUUAUUUUUUGUAAAAAGGGUGCACCCAACCAACAAAACUGACUUGAAACUAACUAAAUUGAACUUGACCAAUUGAACUUAACCAGACUGAACAGAAGACAUUCAGAACUUAAUGGACAGUGAAUACAGUUACAACACUCAGGACAUUGAUAUGAAAACAAAUGAAUGUGUUUGAAUGUGAUAAGUAAAUGGCGGCUUUACAUAUGGUCAUUUUCUUUAAUACAGUUCUAACCAUUUUGCACUUA